Saimiri boliviensis boliviensis (Bolivian squirrel monkey) is the source of this 164-nucleotide small nuclear RNA. Its record names the gene U1. It matches the Rfam family "U1 spliceosomal RNA". Rfam says of the family: U1 is a small nuclear RNA (snRNA) component of the spliceosome (involved in pre-mRNA splicing). Its 5' end forms complementary base pairs with the 5' splice junction, thus defining the 5' donor site of an intron. The record is from Ensembl. Lineage: Eukaryota; Metazoa; Chordata; Mammalia; Primates; Cebidae.
AUGCUUACCUGGCAGGGGAGAUAUGAUGAUCAUGAAGAUGGUUUUCCCAGGGCGAGGCUUAUCCAUUUCACUCCGGAUGUGCUGGCCCCUGUAAUAUCCCCAACUGUGGAAAACUCGACUGAAUAAUUUGUGGUAGUCGGGGACUGUGUUCGUGCUUUCCCCUG